RNAcentral lists this ribosomal RNA (473 nucleotides) under uncultured Magnetococcus sp. RNAcentral's name for it is "bacterial SSU rRNA". It matches the Rfam family "Bacterial small subunit ribosomal RNA", at positions 79 to 587 of the family's 1533-position model. Lineage: Bacteria; Pseudomonadati; Pseudomonadota; Magnetococcia; Magnetococcales; Magnetococcaceae. The record is from RNAcentral.
UUCGGGUCGCCGGCGAGUGGCAAACGGGUGAGUAACGCGUGGAUACCUGUCCUGUGGUGGGGAAUAACGUUUAGAAAUGAACGCUAAUACCGCAUAAGCCCUGCGGGGGAAAGAUUUACCGCCAUAGGAGGGGUCCGCGUCGGAUUAGCUAGUUGGUGGGGUAACGGCCUACCAAGGCGACGAUCCGUAGCUGGUCUGAGAGGAUGAUCAGCCACACUGGGACUGAGACACGGCCCAGACUCCUACGGGAGGCAGCAGUGGGGAAUAUUGCGCAAUGGAGGAAACUCUGACGCAGCGACGCCGCGUGGGUGAAGAAGGCCUUAGGGUUGUAAAGCCCUUUCAGUGGGAAAGAUGAUGACGGUACCCACAGAAGAAGCCCCGGCUAACUCCGUGCCAGCAGCCGCGGUAAUACGGAGGGGGCCAGCGUUGUUCGGAAUUACUGGGCGUAAAGGGCGCGUAGGCGGUUGAUCAAG